UCGGACUGGAGUCUGCAACCCGACUCCACGAAGUUGGAUUCGCUAGUAAUCGCGCAUCAGCCAUGGCGCGGUGAAUACGUUCCCGGGCCUUGUACACACCGCCCGUCAAGCCAUGGGAGCCGGGGGCGCCUGAAGUCCGGGACCGCGAGGACCGGCCUAGGGCGAAACUGGUGACUGGGGCUAAGUCGUAACAAGGUAGC
RNAcentral lists this ribosomal RNA (200 nucleotides) under uncultured bacterium. RNAcentral describes it as "partial 16S ribosomal RNA". It matches the Rfam family "Bacterial small subunit ribosomal RNA", at positions 1293 to 1500 of the family's 1533-position model. The record is from RNAcentral.